RNAcentral lists this non-coding RNA (25 nucleotides) under Rattus norvegicus (Norway rat). The record is from RNAcentral. Lineage: Eukaryota; Metazoa; Chordata; Mammalia; Rodentia; Muridae.
UGCUCCGUGGAUGGUGCUAUUCUAC